GACGAACGCUGGCGGCGUGCUUAACACAUGCAAGUCGAACGGAAAGGCCCUGCUUUUGUGGGGUGCUCGAGUGGCGAACGGGUGAGUAACACGUGAGUAACCUGCCCUUGACUUUGGGAUAACUUCAGGAAACUGGGGCUAAUACCGGAUAGGAGCUCCUGCUGCAUGGUGGGGGUUGGAAAGUUUCGGCGGUUGGGGAUGGACUCGCGGCUUAUCAGCUUGUUGGUGGGGUAGUGGCUUACCAAGGCUUUGACGGGUAGCCGGCCUGAGAGGGUGACCGGCCACAUUGGGACUGAGAUACGGCCCAGACUCCUCCGGGAGGCAGCGGUGGGGAAUAUUGCACAAUGGGCGGAAGCCUGAUGCAGCAACGCCGCGUGCGGGAUAACGGCCUUCGGGUUGUAAACCGCUUUCGCCUGUGACGAAGCGUGAGUGACGGUAAUGGGUAAAGAAGCACCGGCUAACUACGUG
This 468-nucleotide ribosomal RNA is filed under the name uncultured bacterium. Its description in RNAcentral is "partial 16S ribosomal RNA". It matches the Rfam family "Bacterial small subunit ribosomal RNA", at positions 28 to 507 of the family's 1533-position model. The record is from RNAcentral.